UACCCGCAGCUCAAGUGGUGGUCAUUAUUAUUGGGCCUAAAGCGUCCGUAGCUGGCUUGUUAGAUGCCUGGGUAAAUCGAUGCGCUUAACGCAUCGAAUUCCGGGUAGACCGGCAAGCUCGAGACCGGGAGAGGUGUAGGCUACUCGAGGGGUAGGGGUAAAAUCCUGUAAUCCUUCGGGGAGGACCAGUGGCGAAGGCGCUACACUAGAACGGCCCUGACAGUGAGGGACGAAGCCCUGGGGCGCAAACCGG
Molecule: ribosomal RNA, 253 nt
Filed under: uncultured bacterium
Lineage: Bacteria
Description: partial 16S ribosomal RNA
Rfam family: Archaeal small subunit ribosomal RNA
Source: RNAcentral